UUGCCCUCAGCGCAGACUGGUAGCAAAAUGGUGAGAAAUACAUCGGACAACAGAGGGAACAAGGUGGACCUCAUCUGAUCAGUUGAAGUCUUGAAUAGAAUAAAAAGACUGACCCUCCCACGAGUAAGAGGGAAUCUCGCCUGCCUACCUGCCUGCCUUCAAACUGGGACAUUGGUUUUUUCCUGCCUUUAGACUCAAACUGAUCAUUGGCUCUUUGUGGGAUUCACGCCUGGCAGCCUUUGGACUGGAAAUACACCAUCAGCUCUCCGGGUCUCCAGCUUGCCAGCCCACCCUGCAGAUCGUGGGACUUGUCGGCCUCCACAAUCAUGUGAACUAAUUCCUUAUAAUAAGUCUCUUUCUGUAUAUAUAUAUAUUUUUUAUUGGUUCUCUUUCUCUCGGGGAUCUUGAUUAAUUCGGAAGGUGAAAGGUGCAUCCGUUGGGUCUACUGCUUUCUCUGGCCAGCACACUGUGGUAGGCAGAAUUCUCAAAACAGCCCCCGAGGUCCACACCCUAAUCCUGAGAACCUGUGAAUGGGCUGAGAUCCCACUCCUGUGAUGCUCUGGUGCUAUGUGGCUCACUGGAUCUUAAAAUAGAGAGAUUGUCCAGGUGGCCCUAAUCUUAUCACAUAAACCCGGCUAAAGGCAGAGAGUUUUCUCUGGUUGGAAGGGUAGUGGAAGUCAGAGGAUUAGCAUGAGAGGGAGUCUAGAUGAGGGGUCUUGCCACAGGCUGUGAUGCUGUGAUGGGGCCUGGAAGGAAGCCUCUGGAAGGAACUGUAGAUGGCCCAUAGAAGUUGAGAGUGACUCCUGGCCAACAGUCAGGAGACAAAGACCUCAGUCCUACAACUGCAAGGAACUGAAUUCUGCCAAACCUGAGUGAGCUUGGAAGCAGAUUUUCCACACAGCCUGCAGAGGAGCACCCAGCCUGCUGACAUCUUGACUUCUGCCUGGAGAGACCCUAAGCGGAGAACCCAGGAGGACCCACCUGGACUUUGGACCUAUAGGAUUGGGAUAAUAAGUGGGUAUUGUUUUAAGAGCCAGUGGUAAUUUGUUACACAGAGUAGAAAACUGAUGCACAUAGACAAAGAGAUGUGGCUUCCUAUGGCAGCACUAGCAGAGAUUUAGGGGUGAGUCAUUGGUGUCAAGAGGCAGGCUGUAGGACGUCUGUUUCAGCAGGUAUAGUGACUCUGGAGCCAACAGUGCCAGUGGUGGCCUUCCUGUUUCCAGCUUUCCCAUUGUGGCAGAGGUUGGGGUUACUCUGGUAGGACAAUUCUACUGUGUUGCCCUUGGAUUCCAGGAGUGCC
Molecule: long non-coding RNA, 1300 nt
Filed under: Equus asinus (donkey)
Lineage: Eukaryota; Metazoa; Chordata; Mammalia; Perissodactyla; Equidae
Description: lncRNA (ENSEASG00005025871.1)
Source: RNAcentral